Molecule: transfer RNA, 80 nt
Filed under: fish gut metagenome
Description: Selenocysteine transfer RNA
Source: RNAcentral
GGUAACUGGUGUGCCUCCUGGUCUUCAAAACCUGUGUGGGGUGUUGAUCAUCCCGGGUGGGUUCGAUUCCCACAUAUUCC